AAGUCGUAACAAGGUUUCCGUAGGUGAACCUGCGGAAGGAUCAUUAACACGUAUCCAAACGUUAAAACCCCCCGUGAACCUUUAUUGUACUUACACGCUUCGUUGGAAAGUAGCAGGCACAGCGGGUAAAUCAUCGCCGAACAGUUUUGAUUCCGUCUACCUGGUGCGUGAAGUGUGAGACGAGGCGAAGUAGUGGCCUUGCAUCCCUCUGCUUGUUAAUGUCUGGAAGUGUCAUUAGCUCUGUAAGGAUGGCGCAGUAACGAUCGCUAGAGGCCAUCACGGCCGGCGACCUGGCCGCAGGGCGCGAGCCCCCCUGAUCACCCCUUUGCAUGAAAACGGGCCUGCGCUUAAUUGUGCGGCCACCAAACUCGAACAACUGUUAACAAUGGAUAUCUUGGUUCUC
This 403-nucleotide unclassified non-coding RNA is filed under the name fungal sp. RNAcentral describes it as "partial internal transcribed spacer region". The stretch from base 1 to 46 matches the Rfam family "Eukaryotic small subunit ribosomal RNA", at positions 1786 to 1831 of the family's 1831-position model. RNAcentral also lists the same sequence under 1 other name. The record is from RNAcentral. Lineage: Eukaryota; Fungi.